This 839-nucleotide ribosomal RNA is filed under the name uncultured Alphaproteobacteria bacterium. RNAcentral describes it as "bacterial SSU rRNA". It matches the Rfam family "Bacterial small subunit ribosomal RNA", at positions 8 to 893 of the family's 1533-position model. The record is from RNAcentral. Lineage: Bacteria; Pseudomonadati; Pseudomonadota; Alphaproteobacteria.
AGGGUUUGAUCCUGGCUCAGAACGAACGCUGGCGGCAUGCCUAACACAUGCAAGUCGAACGAAGGCUUCGGCCUUAGUGGCGCACGGGUGCGUAACGCGUGGGAAUCUGCCCUUGGGUACGGAAUAACAGUUAGAAAUGACUGCUAAUACCGUAUAAUGACUUCGGUCCAAAGAUUUAUCGCCCAGGGAUGAGCCCGCGUCGGAUUAGCUAGUUGGUGAGGUAAAGGCUCACCAAGGCGACGAUCCGUAGCUGGUCUGAGAGGAUGAUCAGCCACACUGGGACUGAGACACGGCCCAGACUCCUACGGGAGGCAGCAGUGGGGAAUAUUGGACAAUGGGCGCAAGCCUGAUCCAGCAAUGCCGCGUGAGUGAUGAAGGCCUUAGGGUUGUAAAGCUCUUUUACCCGGGAAGAUAAUGACUGUACCGGGAGAAUAAGCCCCGGCUAACUCCGUGCCAGCAGCCGCGGUAAUACGGAGGGGGCUAGCGUUGUUCGGAAUUACUGGGCGUAAAGCGCACGUAGGCGGCUUUGUAAGUUAGAGGUGAAAGCCCGGGGCUCAACCCCGGAAUUGCCUUUAAGACUGCAUCGCUAGAAUUGUGGAGAGGUAAGUGGAAUUCCGAGUGUAGAGGUGAAAUUCGUAGAUAUUCGGAAGAACACCAGUGGCGAAGGCGACUUACUGGACACAUAUUGACGCUGAGGUGCGAAAGCGUGGGGAACAAACAGGAUUAGAUACCCUGGUAGUCCACGCCGUAAACGAUGAUGACUAGCUGUCGGGGCGCUUAGCGUUCCGGUGGCGCAGCUAACGCGUUAAGUCAUCCGCCUGGGGAGUACGGCCGCAAGG